RNAcentral lists this ribosomal RNA (555 nucleotides) under Triticum aestivum (bread wheat). RNAcentral's name for it is "partial small subunit ribosomal RNA". Lineage: Eukaryota; Viridiplantae; Streptophyta; Magnoliopsida; Poales; Poaceae. The record is from RNAcentral.
AUGGCAGAAUGCUUCAAUAAGGUGCUCAAGGGUGUACGUGCAUUACCCGUGACGGCAAUAGUUCAAUACACAUUUGACAAGUUGAAUGAAUACUUUUUAAAGCACUCAAUGGAGACUGAUAAGCAGAUUGCUGGUGAGAACAAGGAUAAGCACAAGUAUAAUUUCCCACCAAAGGUUGAAGAAUGGUUGGAAUUUCAAUCACGAAAGGCAGACUCCGAAGAAGCUGUACUAUAUGACGACAACGAGUGGAAGUAUGAGGUGAAAGAGCCCGGAGGAACCACAAACGAUGGCCGCCAACACGGAGGCCGGGCUUUCAAGGUCUCCCUAACACGGUGUGAUUGCACCUGCAUGAGGCCGUCUUUGCUUCAUCUCCCAUGCUCGCACUUGUUAAAUGCAUCCCGGGUUAGGAAUGUGGACGUCAAUCACCCUCUUACCGUGAGGGAGUCCGAGUUCUCAAUCAUGACGGUAAAGAAUACAUGGACUCCACGGUUCCAGCCAUACUUGGACCAAUCACAAUGGCUGGAGUAUCAUGGAGUUCAACUAUGGCCGGACCCG